AUACUUACCUGGCAGGGGAGAUACCAUGAUCACGAAGGUGGUUUUCCCAGGGCGAGGCUUAUCCAUUGCACUCUGGAUGUGCUGACCCCUGCGAUUUCCCGAAAUGUGGGAAACUCGACUGCAUAAUUUGUGGUGGUGGGGGACUGCGUUCACGCUUUCCCCUG
RNAcentral lists this small nuclear RNA (164 nucleotides) under Cebus imitator (Panamanian white-faced capuchin). Its description in RNAcentral is "U1 spliceosomal RNA (ENSCCAG00000007562.1)". It matches the Rfam family "U1 spliceosomal RNA". From Rfam's summary of the family: U1 is a small nuclear RNA (snRNA) component of the spliceosome (involved in pre-mRNA splicing). Lineage: Eukaryota; Metazoa; Chordata; Mammalia; Primates; Cebidae. The record is from Rfam by way of RNAcentral.